CCUACGGGAGGCAGCAGUGAGGAAUAUUGGACAAUGGAGGCAACUCUGAUCCAGCCAUGCCGCGUGCAGGAAGACUGCCCUAUGGGUUGUAAACUGCUUUUAUACAGGAAGAAACACUCUCACGUGUGAGAGCUUGACGGUACUGUAAGAAUAAGGAUCGGCUAACUCCGUGCCAGCAGCCGCGGUAAUACGGAGGAUCCAAGCGUUAUCCGGAAUCAUUGGGUUUAAAGGGUCCGUAGGUGGAUAAUUAAGUCAGAGGUGAAAUCCUGCAGCUCAACUGUAGAAUUGCCUUUGAUACUGGUUGUCUUGAGUUAUUAUGAAGUAGUUAGAAUAUGUAGUGUAGCGGUGAAAUGCAUAGAUAUUACAUAGAAUACCAAUUGCGAAGGCAGAUUACUAAUAAUAUACUGACACUGAUGGACGAAAGCGUGGGGAGCGAACAGGAUUAGAUACCCUGGUAG
RNAcentral lists this ribosomal RNA (458 nucleotides) under uncultured bacterium. RNAcentral's name for it is "bacterial SSU rRNA". It matches the Rfam family "Bacterial small subunit ribosomal RNA", at positions 338 to 793 of the family's 1533-position model. The record is from RNAcentral.